GCAACAGUGGAUGUUCAAAUACUGCAGCUGUGACAUCAUCAGUGACCCAUUUUCCUAAAUGCUGAACAACUGCUGUGUUCAGAUUUAUCUUCCUUUAGUCAUUGCAGAACCGUGAACUUUCUCUCCAAGCAGGUGAAGCCACCACUCCAGAUUCUAUUAAGAGAACAGUUCAUGGAGACUGUGGCCAGGCAGAGCAGCAUCUUAGGAAGAGCAGGCAUCUCUGUCCACAGAGUCUGCCCAGAAUGACUUCCUAGUUCCCAGUGCUCAUGGAUUCUACAAAAACAUCGUUAUUUAGCUGGUGGAAAAAUAAAAGCUACAACUUCAAAAUAGGUCUGAAGAAAUGCCG
Molecule: long non-coding RNA, 346 nt
Filed under: Fukomys damarensis (Damara mole-rat)
Lineage: Eukaryota; Metazoa; Chordata; Mammalia; Rodentia; Bathyergidae
Description: lncRNA (ENSFDAG00000028873.1)
Source: RNAcentral